RNAcentral lists this small nucleolar RNA (108 nucleotides) under Trifolium pratense (red clover). RNAcentral's name for it is "snoRNA Plant_U3". Lineage: Eukaryota; Viridiplantae; Streptophyta; Magnoliopsida; Fabales; Fabaceae. The record is from RNAcentral.
ACGACUUUACUUGAACAUGAUCUGUUAUAUAGGAUCGUACUACUGUAUCUUUGAUUUCUAAGGAGACCAGAACAUAAAACUUCUAUUAACAUGUAUAAAUUAGGGUUA